GACUAAUUCCAGGACACAAAAAGGAUCACUUUUUCCUCCUAAGUCAGCGGCAGCAAGCCCUUGUGCUCUAUAGACCUAAAAGAGAAAAUUCUUCAUUAAGAACGUGGAUAUUUAUUUGAAAUAAAUUUUUAAAAAGAAUAAAUAAUAAAUAGCAAAAGUACUAACUUUAACAGUAAGAUGCCCAACAUCUCGGGGUCUUUGCAACGAAUUCCAGAGGGAAUAUCUAUCUUCGACCCGACCGCGUUCCUGAGGAGUUUCUUCAUGGGCAGCAAGAUCACUAAUAGUUUCGCUGGCAGUCGUACCGCUGAUA
This is a long non-coding RNA of Cotesia glomerata, 310 nucleotides long. RefSeq lists it as uncharacterized. The record is from RefSeq and is a predicted model, not a curated record. Lineage: Eukaryota; Metazoa; Arthropoda; Insecta; Hymenoptera; Braconidae. The transcript has 2 exons.